ACUCAAAGGAAUUGACGGGGGCCCGCACAAGCGGUGGAGCAUGUUGUUUAAUACGUCACUAACCGUAGAACCUUACCAGGUCUUGACAUCUGUGGAACCCUUUGGAAACAGAGGGGUGCCUUUCGGGGAGCCACAAGACAGGUGUUGCAUGGCUGUCGUCAGCUCGUGUCGUGAGAUGUUGGGUUAAGUCCCGCAACGAGCGCAACCCUCAUCCAGUGUUGCUACCAGGUUAAGCUGGGCACUCUCUGGAAACUGCCCGUGCAAGCGGGAGGAAGGUGGGGAUGACGUCAAGUCAGCAUGGCCCUUACGACCUGGGCUACAAACAUGCUACAAUGGCGCGUACAAAGGGCUGCAAGCCGGCGACGGCAAGCCAAUCCCAAAAAGCGCGUCCCAGUUCGGAUCGGAGUCUGCAACUCGACUCCGUGAAGUCGGAAUCGCUAGUAACCGCAGGUCAGCUAUACUGCGGUGAAUACGUUCCCGGGCCUUGCACACACCGCCCGU
This 501-nucleotide ribosomal RNA is filed under the name uncultured bacterium. Its description in RNAcentral is "partial 16S ribosomal RNA". It matches the Rfam family "Bacterial small subunit ribosomal RNA", at positions 899 to 1397 of the family's 1533-position model. The record is from RNAcentral.